This 450-nucleotide ribosomal RNA is filed under the name uncultured bacterium. Its description in RNAcentral is "bacterial SSU rRNA". It matches the Rfam family "Bacterial small subunit ribosomal RNA", at positions 354 to 796 of the family's 1533-position model. The record is from RNAcentral.
GUGAGGAAUCUUGCGCAAUGGGGGAAACCCUGACGCAGCAACGCCGUGUGAGUGAUGAAGGCCUUCGGGUCGUAAAGCUCUGUUAGGUGGAAAGAAAAGUGCUCGACCAAUACUCGAGCUGCUUGACGGUACCACCAGAGGAAGCACCGGCCAACUCCGUGCCAGCAGCCGCGGUAAUACGGAGGGUGCAAGCGUUGUUCGGAAUUACUGGGCGUAAAGAGCGUGUAGGCGGCUAACUAAGUCAGAUGUGAAAUCCCUGGGCUCAACCCAGGAAGUGCAUUUGAAACUAAUUAGCUAGAGUACGAGAGAGGAAGGUGGAAUUCCUGGUGUAGAGGUGAAAUUCAUAGAUAUCGGGAAGAAUACCGGUGGCGAAGGCGGCCUUCUGGCUCGAUACUGACGCUGAGACGCGAAAGCGUGGGGAGCAAACAGGAUUAGAUACCCUAGUAGUCC